AUUGAACGCUGGCGGCAGGCCUAACACAUGCAAGUCGAGCGGAUGAAGGGAGCUUGCUCCUGGAUUCAGCGGCGGACGGGUGAGUAAUGCCUAGGAAUCUGCCUGGUAGUGGGGGAUAACGUCCGGAAACGGGCGCUAAUACCGCAUACGUCCUGAGGGAGAAAGUGGGGGAUCUUCGGACCUCACGCUAUCAGAUGAGCCUAGGUCGGAUUAGCUAGUUGGUGGGGUAAAGGCCUACCAAGGCGACGAUCCGUAACUGGUCUGAGAGGAUGAUCAGUCACGUGGGAAGAGGGGCAGGACAGGUAUCGAUAGGGGAGGGAGGAGGGGGAAAUACGAGAGAGGGGGGGAGAGUCUGAGCCGGACAUGCCGCGGUUGAGAAGAAGUUCUUGUGAUUGAAAAGAUCUUUAGGGGGGGAGGAAGGGAAGUAAGUUAUUACCUGGCUGUUUUGACUUUACCAAAAGAAGAAGCACCGGCAAGCUUCGUGCAAGCGGCCGGUUAAUAAUCGGAGGAACACACGUCUGACC
Molecule: ribosomal RNA, 524 nt
Filed under: uncultured bacterium
Lineage: Bacteria
Description: partial 16S ribosomal RNA
Rfam family: Bacterial small subunit ribosomal RNA
Source: RNAcentral